Molecule: ribosomal RNA, 253 nt
Filed under: uncultured bacterium
Lineage: Bacteria
Description: partial 16S ribosomal RNA
Rfam family: Bacterial small subunit ribosomal RNA
Source: RNAcentral
GACAGAGGGUGCAACCGUUGUUCGGAAUUACUGGGCGUAAAGCGCGUGUAGGCGGCCCUGCAAGUCGGAUGUGAAAUCCCACGGCUCAACCAUGGAAGUGCAUUCGAAACUGCAGAGCUAGAGUCCUGGAGAGGAAGGUGGAAUGCUUGGUGUAGAGGUGAAAUUCGUAGAUAUCAAGCGGAACACCGGUGGCGAAGGCGGCCUUCUGGACAGUGACUGACGCUGAGACGCGAAAGCGUGGGGAGCAAACAGG